This is a non-coding RNA of Obba rivulosa, 100 nucleotides long. Lineage: Eukaryota; Fungi; Basidiomycota; Agaricomycetes; Polyporales; Gelatoporiaceae. The record is from the annotation of a GenBank genome assembly.
GGCCUGGUGGUCUAGUAGUAUGAUUCCUUCUUAGGGUGAUGGAGUAUCUAACUUCUCACUGAUAUGGAGGAGGUCCCGGGUUCAAUUCCCGGCCAGGCCC